RNAcentral lists this ribosomal RNA (292 nucleotides) under uncultured bacterium. Its description in RNAcentral is "partial 16S ribosomal RNA". It matches the Rfam family "Bacterial small subunit ribosomal RNA", at positions 505 to 796 of the family's 1533-position model. The record is from RNAcentral.
GUGCCAGCAGCCGCGGUAAAACGUAGGAGCCAAGCGUUAUCCGAAUUCACUGGGCGUAAAGCGCAUGCAGGCGGUCCGGUAAGUUGGAUGUGAAAUCUCCCGGCUCAACUGGGAGAGGCCGUUCAAUACUGUUGGACUAGAGGGCGACAGAGGGAGGUGGAAUUCCGGGUGUAGUGGUGAAAUGCGUAGAUAUCCGGAGGAACACCAGAGGCGAAGGCGACCUCCUGGGUCGUACCUGACGCUCAGAUGCGAAAGCUAGGGGAGCGAACGGGAUUAGAAACCCGAGUAGUCC